This is a long non-coding RNA of Capsicum annuum, 2999 nucleotides long. RefSeq lists it as uncharacterized. Lineage: Eukaryota; Viridiplantae; Streptophyta; Magnoliopsida; Solanales; Solanaceae. The record is from RefSeq and is a predicted model, not a curated record. The transcript is spliced from 2 exons.
CAACACAUUCACCCUAAAACUUGAGAUGUACACCUGCUUGAAAUUUGAGGGAUCUUGCAACUCCCAAAAUAGUUCUGUAUUUUCUUUCCACCACCCCAUUCUGUUGAGGGGUAUAGACACAUGAAGUUUGAUGCAAAUACCAAGAUUAGACAUAAGAGAUUUAAAUUCAUGACUAAAGAACUCACAGGCAUUAUCAGUUCUAAGAUUUUUUACAGAAGUAGAGAACAAGUUUUGCAUUCUAGUCAGAAAAUCUUUGAGUACAACUAUCACUUCAGACUUAAACUGGAUAAGAAACAACCAAGUUAAUCUAGAAUGAUCAUCAAAAAUUGUAACAAAGAAUCUCUUUUUAUCAUAGGUAGGCACUCUAUAAGGUCCCAUAUAUCAUAAUGAAGCAGCUGAAAGGGAGCCUUAGACACCGAGAUACUAUGCUGAAAAGAAAGUUUAAUCAGCUUAGCAAGGGGAUACACAGUGCAUAUGUGAUCUUCAAACUUCAAAUGACUUAGUUCAGCAUGCCUUUUAAGCACCUCAAUAAGUGCAUGACCCAGUCUUUUGUGCCACAGAACACUAGAAUCCGACAACAACUUCACAUUAUUGGCACACUUAUUUACACUUGUAGGUUUAGAGGAAGCAUUUGGGAGAAUGUAAAGUCCUUGAUCUUCUUUACCAAUCCCCAUCACCAUGCUAGUAUAGAGAUCCUAGAAGAUGCAGAAGUCAGGAAAAAGCUUCACUGAACAUUGCAACUCCUUGGUAAGUUUUGAAAUAGAUAGAAGAUUAUAUUUUGAACUCAGGCAGAUAUAAGACAUCAGUAAUGAGGGAAUUGUUGAGUACACCAGAGGUGUCUUUGUGAAAGACUGAAACCUAAUUACCUGUUGGAAGAUAGACCUGACUUUAUAAAGACUGAUGCAUUUUAUGAUAAUUAUGAAGCAUAUCAGGGUUGGAGACCAUAUGAUUAGUAGCACCAGAUUCAAUAAUCCACCUAUCACUUAAAGUAGGACUAGUUGGAGCUAUCGUGAUGCCUGCAUUUGAUGCAGGUGAAAUGGAAUCCUUUUCCUUCCCUUUGUUGAGCAGCAUGACAAGUUGUUGAUAUAAUCUUGGUGUAAAAUGAGGAGUAGGACUUGAAGUAGUUGGGGAUGAACUGGCUUGAGACAACUUAUUACUAGUAGGGUAUGUAUCCACAGGGAAUGCAGAGUCUACCAUAUGUGCAUACUGUCCUGAUCCUUUCUUAUUGGACUUGGGCUAAUCUGAUGGGUAACCAAUCAGCUUGAAACAUUGAUCCUUAGUAUGACCAUUAUAACCACAAAACUCACAAACCACUGAUGGUUUUUUUUGUGGAGCACCUCUAUAGGUAGAAGCUAGUGGUCUUCCUUCAUCGAUACCUGUAGUCUUAACUAAACUUGUACCAACUGAACCACCAGGACCUAGAUAUCCACCUUUGCCUUUGUAACCUGGUUUAUGGGUAAAGAGAGCUGCUACAUCCAGUGUAUCACUAAGAUGAUCCACAGAGGAACUAGAAGCUAUGGAUCUAUGGCUUUCAUGAUCUACAAUCAUGAAGUACACUUUGCUAAUGGAUGGUACAGGGGUCAUUAAUAGGAGUUGGCUUCUACACGGAGAGUAUGUUUCAUUUAGACCCAUUAGGAACUGUAAUACUCUUUGAUAAUCAAAGUGUUGAGCAUAACUUCUAGAUUCAGGGUAUCUAUAUCUAGGAGAAGGCAUAAGAGCAUCAAAUUCAUCCCAAAGAGUUCGCAUUCGAGAAAAAUAAUCAGCAACUGACAGAGUUCCCCAAGAGAAGGUCAUAAUUUCUCUAUGCAAGUAGAAUACUCUACAGCCACUCACCAUAUCAAACCUUUUCUUUAAAUCUAUCCACACAUUAUGAGCAUUAGAGGCAUACAUAAUACUACUCAACAGAUCCUUUCGUACUGAAUUCAUAAUCCAUGACAAAACAACAGCAUUAACACUCUCCCACUGAUCAUGUACUGAUUCAUCAAUGUGAUUUUUAGGAUAUCUCCCAUCAACAAAGCCUAUUUUGUUCUUACCUAUGGGACUCAACGCCAUAGAUCUACUCCACAGGGCAUAAUUUUCAGUGCCAGUAAGCUGGAUAGAAAUAAGAGAGCUACCUGGAGUGUCAUUUGGACGCAAAUACAGAGGAUAAUUGUGGUCAAUUUCAAUUGUACCAGUUAAAGUAGGUGUAUUUCCAGGUACUGCAGUUGUAGUUGAAGGAUAUGCAACUGAGUUUCGAGUAACCGCCAUUAAAGUUCACUGUAACCAAUAGAAUAGUAGCUGUUAUUCUCACUGAUCAAGUGAAAUCGAUAGUCUCUAGUACCGAUUACAGCUAGCGACCAGUAGUGGAUUUGAUACCAUAUUAGCUUUCUAUAGUAUUGAGCUAAGAUCUUGAAGAAGAGGAGUAGAAGAUUCUAGAAGAAGAGUAGUUUUCAUUGAUUGAUUUUCUCUUAGCUUUUUAUGGCACUACAAGUCACAUUUAUAGAGUUGGUUUGCACCUUGUGACAGUUAUAUAAUGACAGCUGUCACACUUAACUAACUAACUCAGUCGCACAUACAUCACACACACUAACUUCCUCUAGCUAAUCAUCAACUUGUUGAUUACACUUUUCACUGUCCUUGGCAGAGAAACACGGAAAGAAAGAAGCCGAGGCAAGUAUGGAACGAGUAAUGGGAAUGUACAAAGCAAUGGUAACCUGUUUCCUUCAGAAGUCUGAUGCAUAUGCAGAUAGCAUAUGUUAAGAAGAUGGUUACAAUUCCUUCGCCAAGACGUCAGAGGCUAAAGAUAAAUUGUCAGACAUCGAUUGCAUUCUCCGAGCUAUUUUCCCCUUUUUUCUUUUAUUUUAUUGUGGUGAAUAAGUGAUGAAGUUGUAUUGCUAUUGUUAUGACAGGUUUUUUUUUUCAAUUUUCUCCCUUUUUCUUCAUUUUGUUUGCCUAUAGUUAAAAACAAGUUGUCUAGUAAUAUUCCAAUAUUUGUUCUUUCAAAUUCUUCUUCUCGUAUA